AUAAGCAGAGUUACUCUAGGCAAUUAUCUUCCUCCGAUUGAAAUUUGCAGACCAGUUGGACUACCGGAGCUAGGUAGGCUUAGAAGAACGUUUGUUAAAUUUGCAGACCAGUUAUGACUGUGAUACCCAGUCACAGCGGAAGGGUUCUUAAGGAUUCAUAACUGUUUUGUCAAGGGUUCAGAAUGUUUUUUUGGGGAAAUGAUAGGGUUUACAAUGGCAAAAUUAGGAGAGAUGAUGCAUUCAAGCGUUAUUACCUCUAAACUCUCUGUUCAAGUAAUCCACAAACCGUCUCUUUCCACUGUUUGCAUCAGUUGGUAACGGUGGCCCGCUCAGACUCGACUGACCCAUCAAUUUAACAAACGUUCUUCUAAGCCUACCUAGCUCCGGUAGUCCAACUGGUCUGCAAAUUUCAAUCGGAGGAAGAUCAUUACCUAGAGUAACUCUGU
Brassica rapa (field mustard) is the source of this 446-nucleotide non-coding RNA. Lineage: Eukaryota; Viridiplantae; Streptophyta; Magnoliopsida; Brassicales; Brassicaceae. The record is from RefSeq and is marked provisional.